This 375-nucleotide ribosomal RNA is filed under the name uncultured organism. Its description in RNAcentral is "partial 16S ribosomal RNA". It matches the Rfam family "Bacterial small subunit ribosomal RNA", at positions 523 to 896 of the family's 1533-position model. The record is from RNAcentral.
CGGGGGGGGGGGCAAGCGUUGUUCGGAAUUACUGGGCGUAAAGGGCGCGUAGGCCGUCCUGCAAGUCCUCCGUGAAAUCCCACAGCUCAACUGUGGAAUUGCGAGGGAAACUGCAGGACUUGAGUUCGGGAGAGGAGAGUGGAAUUCCCAGUGUAGCGGUGAAAUGCGUAGAUAUUGGGAGGAACACCGGUGGCGAAGGCGGCUCUCUGGACCGACACUGACGCUGAGGCGCGAAAGCUAGGGGAGCAAACGGGAUUAGAUACCCCGGUAGUCCUAGCCCUAAACGAUGAGCACUUGGUGUGGCGGGUAUCGACCCCUGCCGUGCCGAAGCUAACGCAUUAAGUGCUCCGCCUGGGGAGUACGGUCGCAAGGCUG